This 225-nucleotide ribosomal RNA is filed under the name uncultured Streptococcaceae bacterium. RNAcentral's name for it is "partial 16S ribosomal RNA". It matches the Rfam family "Bacterial small subunit ribosomal RNA", at positions 114 to 334 of the family's 1533-position model. Lineage: Bacteria; Bacillati; Bacillota; Bacilli; Lactobacillales; Streptococcaceae. The record is from RNAcentral.
CGCGUAGGUAACCUGCCUGGUAGCGGGGGAUAACUAUUGGAAACGAUAGCUAAUACCGCAUAAGAGUAGAUGUUGCAUGACAUUUGCUUAAAAGGUGCAAAUGCAUCACUACCAGAUGGACCUGCGUUGUAUUAGCUAGUUGGUGGGGUAACGGCUCACCAAGGCGACGAUACAUAGCCGACCUGAGAGGGUGAUCGGCCACACUGGGACUGAGACACGGCCCAG